This 305-nucleotide unclassified non-coding RNA is filed under the name Hevea brasiliensis (rubber tree). The record is from RNAcentral. Lineage: Eukaryota; Viridiplantae; Streptophyta; Magnoliopsida; Malpighiales; Euphorbiaceae.
GGAAACAGUAAAACAAAGCAUGUCUAUAGAAAAAAACUCUUAGUUCAUGGUUCCGUUCUCACUCGUCGACUGAUCAGGACAAGCAACAGAAACCCAUUUAUUCAAUAAGUAAAGUGACAAAAAAAAAAGAGGGAAUUCCACGCUCUGCAUUUCUCCACAUUAGAAAAAAGCACAAGCGCCUCCCUGAAAAGUCAGAAGCUACUGAGUCCACAGCUCUUAAAUUUAUUUUUCUUCCUUACAAGCGGUAAAACUAUGUGAUUUGGAAGAUAGCAGCAGAUUAUUUGCAGGCAGAUAUGAGGUGUAGC